AGAGUUUGAUCAUGGCUCAGAGUGAACGCUGGCGGCAUGCCUAACACAUGCAAGUCGAACGGCAGCAUGGCGUGUAGCAAUACACGCUGAUGGCGAGUGGCGGACGGGUGAGGAAUACAUCGGAAUUUGCCCAGUCGUGGGGGAUAACGUAGGGAAACUUACGCUAAUACCGCAUACGACCUUACGGUGAAAGCGGGGGAUCGCAAGACCUCGCGCGGAUGGAUAAGCCGAUGUCGGAUUAGCUAGUUGGCGGGGUAAAGGCCCACCAAGGCGACGAUCCGUAGCUGGUCUGAGAGGAUGAUCAGCCAGACUGGGACUGAGAACGGCCCAGACUCCUACGGGAGGCAGCAGUAGGGAAUUUUCCACAAUGGGCGAAAGCCUGAUGGAGCAACGCCGCGUGCAGGAUGAAGGCUUUCGGGUCGUAAACUGCUUUUAUCUGUGAAGAUUAUGACGGUAGCAGAUGAAUAAGGAUCGGCUAACUCCGUGCCAGCCGCCGCGGUAAUAC
RNAcentral lists this ribosomal RNA (505 nucleotides) under uncultured bacterium. RNAcentral's name for it is "bacterial SSU rRNA". It matches the Rfam family "Bacterial small subunit ribosomal RNA", at positions 8 to 526 of the family's 1533-position model. The record is from RNAcentral.